RNAcentral lists this long non-coding RNA (276 nucleotides) under Elaeis guineensis (African oil palm). Its description in RNAcentral is "long non-coding RNA (EGUI_LNC071408)". Lineage: Eukaryota; Viridiplantae; Streptophyta; Magnoliopsida; Arecales; Arecaceae. The record is from RNAcentral.
AAGGAGAUAAGAUAGGGCGUGCAUAGAUGACCUCUGAGAGAAAAGGGUGGCAUGAGAGAGCUUUCCUACAUGAGAAAAGAAAAGAAAAGGAGAGAAAAGAAAGAAACAAGUGGGCGCAAGUUUCUUCGUAGUGUAUCCUAGGAUUUUGGCCUAGGGUUUGGGAAGUGAGAACGUUUGCUAUGAGUGUCGUGAGCCCACCAAACUUUAGGAAGAGCAUCAACAACCUCUCAAGUACAUCUGCUGAUGAUCUAGAGCAUCCGAGGAGUCGACAGAUCA